This 548-nucleotide ribosomal RNA is filed under the name uncultured bacterium. RNAcentral describes it as "bacterial SSU rRNA". It matches the Rfam family "Bacterial small subunit ribosomal RNA", at positions 356 to 896 of the family's 1533-position model. The record is from RNAcentral.
AGGGAAUCUUCCGCAAUGGGCGAAAGCCUGACGGAGCAACGCCGCGUGAGUGAUGAAGGUCUUCGGAUCGUAAAACUCUGUUAUUAGGGAAGAACAAAUGUGUAAGUAACUAUGCACGUCUUGACGGUACCUAAUCAGAAAGCCACGGCUAACUACGUGCCAGCAGCCGCGGUAAUACGUAGGUGGCAAGCGUUGUCCGGAAUUAUUGGGCGUAAAGCGCGCGCAGGCGGAUUGGUCAGUCUGUCUUAAAAGUUCGGGGCUUAACCCCGUGAUGGGAUGGAAACUGCCAAUCUAGAGUAUCGGAGAGGAAAGUGGAAUUCCUAGUGUAGCGGUGAAAUGCGUAGAUAUUAGGAAGAACACCAGUGGCGAAGGCGACUUUCUGGACGAAAACUGACGCUGAGGCGCGAAAGCCAGGGGAGCGAACGGGAUUAGAUACCCCGGUAGUCCUGGCCGUAAACGAUGGGCACUAGGUGUAGGAGGUAUCGACCCCUUCUGUGCCGGAGUUAACGCAAUAAGUACCCCGCCUGGGGAGUACGACCGCAAGGUUG